CGAUGAGGACUAGAGUGCUGGACUCCUUGGCUCAGCUGCCCAAACAGUGUGUGGAAUUGGAGUGCAGUGUGACUGGUUUCUAAGACAUUUGGUUAGCUGAUCUGAUGUGUUGGUGCAUUUCUUGUGCGUCUUAUGUUUAUGUUAGAUGUGUGUACUGAGGUCACAAGAAGGUUUGGAAGCUAUGUGUUGUUUGCUUACAGUUUCUCCAUGGCUUCUGUUCCUACUUAGUCUGUGAGCUUGUAUCGUUGUUCAGUCUAUCAAUACUGAGAGUUUAUUAUAUCUGUCUUAUUCUACAGUCAAUUUUUUUCAUUAUUCAGUUUAUUUUUAUUCAGUUGCGAGCUUGCAUUGCGAUGGCCUUAUUCUCAGUAUUUCCACACAUAUCAUUCAGUUUCAUUCAGUCUAGUACCUCAGUUUUUUAGCUCCUCAUUUUCCAGUUUUUACAUUUUAGUCUUCAUGACCGGUAAACAAACAUGAAAAUCAUGGAAAGUCUUUCUUCAGUAACCCCCCCUGCCCUUUUGGUUGUUGUUGUCUGUCUGUCUUCAAUCUCUCUUCUUCAGUUCUAAGCCAACUGCUCGACAGAUAGCUAUUUCUACAGUAGUACACGGACUCGAUCACUCGCAACAGAAGAGACACCGGCACAAUGAUCAGCGGGGCGUGGAAGUGCAGCUCCAGCGUUGUCGUAUUGUAGGGGAGACCAAGGUCCCGGGGCCGUCCAUCUUCUUGCUCUUGGUGUCCAGGAAACGCGUCAAAGUCAGCAGUUGGGGCGUCAAGCUGCAGGCAGCACACAGACGCUCGAGCUGCAGGAUCACCGGGUAGUAGUGCGCUGGACCGAAGCGAGCCUCAGCAUUCAGCCAUUCUCCGGUAGCAUGGGCGCCCUCAGAAGCUGGAGUCUCCGUCAUGGAUUCCUUGAAGCAAACCACAUAGCAAUCCAAAAACCACAGGAACGGCAUUUUCCAAGACAAGGAAAACAUUGCGUGACAUUUUUUUUUUUCAGAAAAUGGAAAUGCCGCAGAGUCUUCUAGGUUUCAUGUAGCCAACUCAAGCAUUUAAGCAAACAGUAACAGAAGUACACCUUAUAUGCUAAACAGAAAUACAGUUCGCUCGCUCGACAUGAUCAGGGCGAAUUCGACACGAGAACCACUGGUCAAACAUGGUAGCUCGCACGAUUCACACUUAAACUGCAUAACAGAUAAGAAACCAACUUAUGAACCUGAAGUGCAAAUUCUCUAGCCACAUUAUCAUGAUGAACUGAACGAGGGCAACCGCAACUGAUCACGAUUGACUUGCACCACUUCACGCUUAAAACUCCUCAACAGAGACAAAAUACAACCUGGUAUUAGUAGCUUGGAAGAAGCCAACGGCAGCAGACUAGAGAUGACGGGUUUGCCCAUUUUGCAAUUCAUCACCAUUGAGCCGCACAUCAGAGAUCAGUGGGUCUUCGCUAGCGCCAACAAUAUGCCACGAUCUGAAAAAAAAAUACCAAGCAGAAAACCCGUAACCAACUGUCCAUCUUAGAAUUUAUAAUUUGAUGUGCGGCUGUAUGUAUAACUAGUUCCAAGGGUUACAGGACUGCAUUUGACAUGUGAGCUUCAGCUAAACCAGAAAGUAAUUUAAUGCAUCUUAACGAAAAAUCUGAAGCAAGGUAAAGUGAUAAUGCAAUAUCAACAAGGUUGAAUAAAUAUUUAGCAAUCUCUAUUUGAACCUAGCAUGCACUUCAUGCUUCACCAACUAUUUGACCAAUCAACAGCAGUAGCAAAACAGAGACAUUUUAUUCCAGGGGUAAUGUUGCAUCUAAUAGCACAGAAGAAUAACCGGACCUGAGUCCACAAUUGAAAAGUGGCUACAGAAACAAGAGGUGACUUAUUUUAGGACAGGACAUCCCAACAUCAGUUUCCAAGUUUUAGUAAAAGUGAAAAACAUCCGAGUUCCGCGCCUGUUAGAAUCUAUUUACAAAUGCUAAACGCUUUGUGGUGAAAGUAAGUUCCUUGUCCACCAAUUGUUUUUCCAAGAAGUCUGGUACUGCUACUUGACAUAUCCUUUAAAGACAAGAUCAACAUUGAAGUCAUACUAAAAUUUCAUGAAAGGGAGACGACAUAGAUUACACAUAAUUUCUGUUCCAAGUAGCUGAGCCAAGAAUUAGGCAAACAGUAGCAGAAAUAUGCCUCACAUAUUAAUCUGAAAUACAACCUUUUGACAUUAUGAUCAGGACGAAUUCAACAAGACAACAUCAAUUAAUUGUAAGGACUUGCACAAUUUGUAAGUAAACUGCUGAACAGAGAAUAAACGACUUCACACUUCAUAAUAGCAGCUCUGAAAGAAACCAGCAGCACACUUUGAUCAGUUAAUCUGUAUUAGCGAUAACAAUGUGCCAUGAUCUAAAAUAUAUCAUGUACAAAACUCAUAACAAACUCCAAUUCAGCAUUUUACUUUGGUGAGCUAUAUGCUAGUACCAAUUCCAAUGGUUACAACUUACAACACUGGGUUUGAGAUGUGACCUUCAGCUAUGCCACAAAAUAAGAGAUGGUUAUUUAUAAGAAAGUCUGACGGAAGGUAACAGGAUAGUACGAGACCAACAUGUUUGUGUACAUAUUCCGCAAUUCGACCAAUGCAUGGUCAUGGUCCUUCACAUGUCAAAUCUCAUAUCAUACAUUACAUUAUGUUCUCCAGCGUCAUAUAUUAAGUUUUCUCUAUCACAGAGAAUUGUGCUUGGCAAGAUUCAUAUGUGAAUAUAUAUAUAUAACAAACAUAUAUUACUUUCACUACGACUAAUUGUUCACAACCAAGUAAAUAAGCAAACAUACAGAAGCCGUAACAAAAAUGCAAGACAAUAGACAAGAAGCAAGGUCUAGAACCAAUACCUGGAGUGUAGAAGCUCAUGUAGGGUAGGACGCUAAAGUACUGUGCGGGCUCAUCAACCUUUCUGACUCGCCCUGACUUGAGCUCUAGAGUGAAUAAGCCAGCAUCUGUGUUUAUGAAGAUGACACCCACACCCUCUGCGGAACCAACCACAAAUGGUUGGUAAUCUGGAUCCACGACGGGCACAAUUGUCUCCAGCUCGAUGUUCCUGCAUUUUACCCAUUCAGCAGCUGCUUCUGAAUUCACCUUCCUUGACCACAGAUAAAGACUAGAACUCUCAGUGCAGGCAAACCCCAGCGAACUGUCCUCCAUCACCAUGAGAGCAAUUGGGCUCCUAGUGUGUGGCGGCGGGUCGAUCAUGGAUAAGCAGUUGUUUGGCAAGUUGUACUUGACGAUUUUGUGAGCAGAGCGAAGUGUGAAGUAGACCUCAUCUCCAAUGACAGCUACUCGCCGGGGCAUGACAUAGGGCAGGUGGUAGAGGUUUUCUGCAAUGUCAUCUCGGAUGUGCUGGGAAUAGCAUUCGCAACCAUCGUCAAGAGAUACUGGCGCACUCCACGCACCUGUCACCGACGAGUACACGCUCGCCUUAACCUGGCGGUCGUCGUCGUCGGUGGCCAGGAAGGCGACGCGGAAGGGGCCGCCUUGGCAGUCGAGAUGUUGGCAGCCAUCGGCGGCGCAGAAGACCGCGGCAGUGCAGAUGAGCCAGACGAUGCCCGGCGCGGGGAGGACGUGCCGGUCGCCCGUGACCGGGUCCGAGACGACGAAAACCAGGCCCUCGUCCUGCACCAUGUGGAUGAGCACGCGGCCGUGGCGGCAGUCGAGGGGAACGGGGUGCUUGCCCUGGCCGUCGGAGCCCGGGUAGGGGAAGUCUGGCAUCGACGUGGUGGAGGUGAAGCGGGGCGCGGGCCUUUGUUGGAGGACUUGGAACUGUUGGAGGAGGCCGAGGAGGGGAGGGGCUCCGUGGAAGGCGCGGUAGCGGCGGCGGAAGGAGGGGUCGCAGACGACGCGGAGCCACGACUUGCAGACGAGGGCGGCGCGGAAGAGGUGCUCGGGAUCGUCGGGAGGAAGGAGGAGGAGGACCUCGCCGACGAGCUCGUCCAUCAGCUCCGGCGGUGGGGCCAUGGUGCGGUCGGCGGAAUGGGUGGGGGGCGCCGCCGGGUCGGUGGGUCGGGGAGGAGGUGAAGAAGCGAGUGAGACGGCCCGUUCUACUUGGUUCGGCUCGACCAGGGUCUGUGCCGCGUGUGGCCUCGCUCAAUAGAAAAUCAUGAAACCUCCUAGUGUGCGGGGACCUCCAAAUCUCCAAUACAGAAUCACUAGGAUCCCGAUAACUGUCACACGUGUGGCAUGGACAGAAACUCGCCCGCGCGCCUCGUGUGGCAUGGACAAUAACCAGCCCGCACGACCACGUCCGCGCGCGCAAAGGCACAGCCCGCACGUCCGAUGUGUGGCAACUCCGUCCGGACGUGCGGGCCAGAGGACCCAGCAGCCCGCACGAUCCAGCCGUCCCGGCCUCUUCUCCCACCUCCCGAAUCCCGACUGCCGUCAUCUUCUCCCACCUCCCGAACCCCUACCUCCAUCGCCGGCCUUUUCUGGUUGCCAUGGCAACCNNNNNNNNNNNNNNNNNNNNNNNNNNNNNNNNNNNNNNNNNNNNNNNNNNNNNNNNNNNNNNNNNNNNNNNNNNNNNNNNNNNNNNNNNNNNNNNNNNNNNNNNNNNNNNNNNNNNNNNNNNNNNNNNNNNNNNNNNNNNNNNNNNNNNNNNNNNNNNNNNNNNNNNNNNNNNNNNNNNNNNNNNNNNNNNNNNNNNNNNNNNNNNNNNNNNNNNNNNNNNNNNNNNNNNNNNNNNNNNNNNNNNNNNNNNNNNNNNNNNNNNNNNNNNNNNNNNNNNNNNNNNNNNNNNNNNNNNNNNNNNNNNNNNNNNNNNNNNNNNNNNNNNNNNNNNNNNNNNNNNNNNNNNNNNNNNNNNNNNNNNNNNNNNNNNNNNNNNNNNNNNNNNNNNNNNNNNNNNNNNNNNNNNNNNNGGCUAAAAGCAGGUGAAUCUCCCGAUCUCCCUACUGCUUCUCAUCCUUCUACGUGGCACAGAAAAUUGCAAAAUUACUGACGAGGUUGGCAACUAGAUCCAUCGUACAGGGGUAAUACACUACAUGGAUUGUGUGUCUUCGUAGUUGCCAAGCAGAAUACACUAGAUCUGCCAUGUACUACGUUAGAGAUAACCGUAAGUUACUAGAUUGAUGCACGUAGUUGGUAAAUGAAUGGAUGUGUAGGAAUCCAUAAAAAGGUAGAGAAAAUUGAGAAAUUUGGAAUAAUGGGGGGGUGUGAAAAUUAAUUGUCACUGGUGUCUAACGUCAGUUGCCAUCUAUCAUUGUCGUCAACUGCCACCAUGUCAACUUAUUGCUUGCCAUCCUAUUGUAGUGGCUGAUGCCAUCGAAUCGAACGGAUAGCUAGCACCCAGAUUUUAAAAAAGAUAGUGGAUGUACAUGUCCUACUAGCCAUGAUAUGUUGGUUGCCUACGCAUGACAAUGUGAUAACACUGACGUGUUAACUUCUACAUCCAAGCAGCACAAGGAUACAUUUUUUGUGGAUUGUUGAUGCGUUCUUCUUCAUGCAGUGAUUGAUAGCACAUUGGCAGAAACGAGACGCGGAAAAGAAUGAGUCACGGAGAUGGCGCUGAUCUUUUCGGUUCUCAAAGGUCAGAAACGCCCCCUUGGAAUGCAUCAGAGUACAGUCAACUCAUUUCUGCAGGGCCGUUGCUGCCACUACUAGAACAGUACGCAAGCAUUGGUAUGAUGCAUGAUAACAAAGAAAAAGAACAUUUGCCAUGUUCGCGACGAUGAAGAUGACAGUCUACUUAUGUCCUACACUGUCGUUUUUUCGCAGGUUCUUAUGACCAAAACACACUCAGGGGGGCACCAUGGCAAGUUCAGUCACAGGGCGCUAACACUGACAAAUGUACGGGCAUCCAACUUUAAGUAGCUAAUGUGGCAAAUCAAGGUAACGCAUACGAAAAAGAAACAUAUUGGUCUGGACAUGAAAAAUAAACUUGCAAAGGAUGGCAAAAGACUCACGAGUUAUGUCGGAAAAAAUGCAGAGCCUUCAUGCAACACGUGGCAUCAGGCGGCACCCAUGUACCUGCAUCGAUGUCAUACACAAGUGAGUCCAUAAAAAGUGAAGUUGCAGACGAUGGAUUAGCAGAAGGAGUAUAGUUGACAACUGCAGUUGCCAUGAAUAAACAAAAUGCAGUUGCCAUGAAUAAAAAAAAUGCAGUUGCCAUGACUAAACAACUGCAGUUGCCAUCCCUGGACAACUGCAGUUGCCAUCCCUGGACAACUGCAGUUUCCAUGCCAGGACAACUGCAAUUGCCAUGCCUAGACAACUGCAGUUGCCAUGCCAGGACAAAAUGCAAUCACCAUGUAUUGACCAACAACUACCAUGCUUACAGGUUAUUACAGUGGUGCUACCCCGACAAACAUCUCAUGGCAAGCUUCACAUAUUGCAGAUAGAGCACGUCUUUUUGGUGUGAUAGACCACACAAGAUGGGCACAUGCAGCACAACAAGGUAAGGAAAAUUUGAACCGCAAAAAUAGCGCUGCACUUGUUUUUGUGGGAAUAGCACGUGAGAAAACAGAAGAUUUGUAGCAGUGAUGGUGGAAAAAAUCAAACUAAAAAGUGGUUUGUGCAAUGAGUCAUAUAUUGUCUUCGGGAUUUGCCAACUGCUAAAAGCAUGCGUGCAGCACUAAUGGUUGAUCGCAUUUGCCUAGUAGGCUCAAGCCUAGAAUACAAAAGCUUUGAUGCUAGAACACACUGGUUGCCAUGUGUUGGCAGCAGUAUUUGCCAUGUAUGUAGGACUGCAGCUGCCAUGCAUAUAGAAUUCAAGUUUCUGUACUGAAAUGAGCUGGUUGCCAUGCAUUGGCAACAUUAGUUGCCAUGUUUGUUGGACUGUAGUUGCCAUGACUGGACAACUAUAGUUGCCAUGCAUGUCCACGGGCAGACUCACGGCUUGCUGUUUGAAUGAUGUCAUGCCAGAUCACUUGGAGUUGAUGUGAUCCGUUACGAUAAACAUGUUAUUCAUGGCAAAAUCUUACGCUCGUACCUGUUUUUUCUAUUACAGGGCCUGCAACUACAUUGAACAGCGGCACAGGGACAUCUACCGCGGGGAGCUCUGAGCGCACGGAAGACGCGUUCCACCAGCCUGCCGACAAUCAUGACACAAACAUGCCGAGUCAGAGUCGGAAAUGGCAAUCAUUCCAACAAUGCCGACAUGCACCCCUUUGAACACAAGCACUGGCAACACUCAAGUAGAUGAAACUGCCGCCGAUACUGAAGUGAAUAAUGAAACUGAUGAGAAGCACAAGGGGAUGAAGAUGAUGGGCAAUCAGAGAUCGUGGUACCUCAGCCACCGUACGUUGGGCAAAGAUUUGAAUCGUUUGCAAAAGCAAAGGAAUUCUACCAGACAUAUGCAAAGUUCCAUGGGUUUGCGGUCAACACCGAAUACCAUAGGAAAAUUAAGAAAACUAAUGAGUACAGUAGAGGUGAGAUGAGGUGCCACAAGGCACGAAGGAACAAGAAGGGAAAAGGUGUUGCGCCUGUCGUUCCGGAACGAAAGAGAGGUAUCAUUCUCAAGACGGGAUGCCCUGUCCGGUGUAAGCUGAACGUAGAUGGAACACAAUAUGUGGUCACCGAAUAUUUUGAUGAGCACAACCACAAACUCAUAAAGAAGUUCGACCUGGUGAAGUUUCCGACUGCCCACAGAGGAUUCACCCCACUCGAGAGGAAAUUCAUAAAGCUGCUACAUGAUUGUAACGUCGGUCCAUCAAAAAUGGUGCAGAUACUAUCACUCAUCCACAUCAAAAAUGGGACUCUGAGUAGCAUGCCCUACAUACCAGCUGACGUCACAAACCUAAAGGCAAAAUACCGUAGAGAGAGCAAGUUGGCUGACAUAGAAUCCACGAUGGCCUACUUCGAUGAGAAAUCGAAGGAAGAUCCACAUUUCUUCUACAUGAUAAGGUUGGACGAUGAGGACCAUGUCAGGAACAUGUAUUGGGUGGAUGGUGCUGCAAGAAGAGCCUACAAACAUUUCCGAAAUUGCAUUUCAUUCGACGCGGCGUAUCUCACUAAUAUGUACAAGAUGCCGUGCGCUCCAUUCAUAGGAAUAAAUAACCACAAUCAAUCGUUGCAGUUCGGGUGCGGGCUCGUUCGGAACAAAGACACGGAUGGGUACGUUUGACUGUUCAAGACCUUCUUGGAGUGCAUGGAUGGACUUGCUCCGAUGAACAUAAUAACUGACCAGGAUUUUAGUAUGUGUGUAGUCAUAGAGGAGGUCUUUCUAUUGGCAGUGUACAUGCACUGUAGAUGGCAAAUUAUAAAGAAGUCUGAGGAGUUGCUAGGACCGUUCUUUGCUGACCGUCCGGAGCUGCACAAGGCAUUCAAGCUGUGCAUGGACCACAGCUUGAUGGUGGAGGAGUUUGAAAGGAGCUGGAUGGCCAUGAUUGAAACAUAUCAAGUCCAAAACAACGAGACUCUUGCUAGCAUGUGGGAGAAGCGAAUGUAUUGGGUGCCGGCCUACUUCAUGCAGUGCUUCUUCCCUUUUCUGCAGACUACACAGCACAGCGAGGGGUUCAAUGCUGUUUUAAAGCGGUACGUGAGCCCUGACAACUCAUUGCUACAGUUUGCCAAGCAGUACACAACUUUGCAACAAAAAAUACUGGGAUCUGAGCUACAACAAGAAGUGAACACCGUGCUAAAGCAGCCAAAAUUACUAACGUAUUUAUCGAUGGAGAGGCGGAUGAGCAAGAUAUACACCAACAAGAUCUUUAACAAGUAAGUCAGUUGCGUUACAGUCUUAUUUACACAAAGCACGAAGGCAGUAGGUCCCAUAUAAAAUGCAAUACAGUUGCCAUGAUUUGUGGUUGACAUGUUUAAUGAAAUACUGUUUGCCAUGCUUACUCAGCUGCAAUUGCCAUGUUCAAUGAAAAUACUGUUUGACAUGCUUACUCACAUGCAGUUGCCAUGUUCAAUGAAAUACAACUAUCAUGUUUAAUGCACUGUACUUCCAUUGGACAAGUUGGUAUGCAAAUGCCAAUGUCAACUGAAAAUGUUAGGUUGUCGCCAUUUGUACUGAAAUGCAAUUGCCAUGUUUACUAAAAUGCAACUGCCAUGUUUGCUGAAAUGCAAUUGCCAUGUUUACUCAACUGUAGUUGCCAUGUUUAAUAAAAUGCAGUUGCCAUGUUUUAUGCAAUGUGCUUCCAUUGAGAAUGUUGGUGUGGAAAUAACGAUGGCCGGUUGAAAAUGUACUGCAGUUGCCAUAUCUAAUGUACUGCAGUUGCCAUGUGUAAUGUACUAUAGUUGCCAUGUCUAAUGUACUACAGUUGCCAUGUUCAAGGUACUAUAUUUUUCAUGUUCAAUGUACUAUAUUUCCCAUGUUCAGACAAAAUGUAUUUCUAUUUACAUGACAACAUAAGGUGCUACAAAAAAAGUUCGCAUGAUAGUUUAACAGAAAACACACAAAACUUGCAGAUUCCAGGAAGAAAUCAAGCGUGCCAGCAUGUUCACGACUUUCCAGGUGGACGAACAUACGUUCAAGGUGUGUUCUAUUUUGGGCAUGUCAGAUUCAAAACCUGAAGACCCGGACAAAGGAAGGAACUACUUCGUGAAAGCCUCGAUCGGACAAGGCGAAUACUACUGCCAAUGCUGCAAGUUUGAACGGGACGACAUUGUGUGCUGUCACAUACUAAAAGUAAUGGACAUGAAUGCUGUGACACGGAUGCCCCGCCAUUUCAUAAGGCGGCAAUGGACUUGGGACGCUGAUGACGCGUUGGCGCCGUAGACAACAAACAUAGUUCUGGCUGUGCAUGAUGAGAGACCUGAGUCAACCAUGGAAGCCGUGAGGCACGUUGUGCUAACAAAGAACUAUGCUGACCUAAUUGAUGAAGCAUGUAAGAGUGAUGAGACAGUGAGAGUCGCAGAAAAAACAUAGGAAGGCCCUGAAAAGAGAGCUUGAUGAGAUCAAGAAGAGGAAAGCUGAGGAAGCCUUACACAGGUUCCCCCGCACAUCAAGUGUGCCUUCGUCCACGGGGCCAUCAUCUGAAAACUUGGAGAUAGGAUCUGGAACAGCAAGCACACAAACCCAGGUCAGGAACCCGCCCCGUUCCAUCACAAAGGGGCGUCCAAAAGAGACAAGGUACAAAUUGGGAUUGGAGAUUCAAGCAAAACACAAGAAAACGAAGAAAGGGAUGGGCAAUCCGUAAGCAAAAUUGGGGCAUUGUGACAUGGUCCUUGUGGACAUUUUGUUUUGUAACCUAGAUGUUGUGAUUUUUUUUAAAUUGGGAGAAUGACUCUUGAGGGGCAUCAGAAGUAGAAGGAAAAAUACAUUGAAUGGAUAACUGCAGUUGCCAUGUUGUGGGUACUUAAUCUGCCAUGUUAUGUGUAGUUAAUCUGUCAUGCUAUUUUAUACUAAAUAUGCCAUGCUAUUUUAUUCUAAAUAUGCCAUGAUAUUUUAUACUGGAUCUGCCAUGUUAAUUAUACUGGAUCUGCCAUGUUAAUUGUACUGGAUCUGCCAUGUAGUUUAUGCUGAAUCUGCCGUCUUGUUUGUACUGAAUCUGCCAUGUUAGCUGUACUGAAAUAUGCCAUGUUAUUUGUAAAGACUCUGCAUCACAUAUAUUUCCAUGUUAAUUCAACGCGGUUUAGUCACACAUAGUGUGUUGUGUGCAAAAUGUAUGGGAAACAAGUUGAUAAAAGCAUAAUGUGCAUCAACCGCAGGAAAAGUUACAGCUACAUGAUCAAACUACCAUGCUAGCCGGUGCAGUUAGCAAUGAAAAAGAAAGAAGCAAAAUAGCCAAAUGAAAAACGAUGAUGACUUUCACUAACCACAUCUGAUGAACUACAUUUGCCAUGUUUUAAAAUAUCGUAGACGCAUUCGAAGCAGCAAACUGGUGCUACAAACAAUGAAACCAUAAUAAUAAUGAUAAACAUAAAAUGUAUCUGCUGUCACGCCUAAAUAGGUUCACAUCCACACAUAUAUUACAGAAAAUAUUCAAAUGUCUCUCACACACCACCACUACAUACUAGGCUACGCGGGGUUGCAGUCAUAACAUAGCAGACGGACAUAGUUUUGACAAGAACAAAGAUAGUACCUUGCAUUCCUCGGUAACAGAUUGUAAGGUUUGCGUCCGGUGUGUAACGCCACGUGAUCACUUAUACUUCUUGAUGACUUUCUUGACAACUUCCUCCACGAACUUGCGUGCUCCGGACUGCUUGUUGAAAUCUUCAUUCGUCAACCAAUUCCAUGUGUAAAUUUUCCGGAGCUCAACAACCGUUGCAGCUGUGACAGCGGGAAUAAGUCUACCUUCCCACUUUGCAAAGUAUUCCAACGUGUGAAAGCCACAGUCCAUCCUGCACAAGAAAAAGAGUGAUGUGAACUCGCAAAAAGGACAGACAUAACAAUGUUAAACUUCAAUUCAGAUGUAACAACAAAGAGGGGUGGGAUUGAUGUAAAUGGCACAUGAAGGAGGGGGUAGGAAAUUACGUGUUCCCUUGAUUCGUAGUCACCACGUACUCAAUCGGGAAAUGUCUGAUAUGGACCUUUGAGUUUUCAUAGUGACGGUUCCAUGUCUCUUUGACGUUGUUGAUGAAGAAUUCAGCAUGCGAAGUAAGGUCAGCAUCAGCUGCCGAACGCAUUGAAUCAAGCACCUCAAAGCGUUGGUUUCUCAGGUCAAGAUAGAUCGCGUAGUGGUGACCACACUUGUCGCGUGGGUCGUGUGGUGCAAGCUCCUGGAACAUGGGGAACAGGACCUGCAAGUAAAAAUGAAGGAAAUGAGAAGCAAAGUUCACAUGAAGAAUAAUAAAGGGACAACAAAAGUAGAAUCACGUAGAAUGUUCAGUUAUAGUGGGUAGUUGAAAGAAAGUUGCCGUCCAUGUAUGAACAAAAUUUGCCGUGUAUUUUACUUUGAAGUUGCCACAUAGUUUGCACGGUAUGCAAAAAUCAAAAAGUCAGUUUGCAUGGCAGCUGAUGCCACAUGAAACAUUUGCCACAUAAACAGAGUGCAGAUAAUGGCAAAAAAUCAUACCAUGUGAAAAAAAUGCAAACAUGGAAGGAGUACUCACAUAUUUCUUCAUUGUGAGCUUGAAUUCACCGUGUUGAGCAAAAUUCUUCCUCAGGAUUUUGUGAUUGAAGUCACCAUCCCAUAUUUUGCAGGUCACACUAUAAUGCAUGAUUAUUUUGUCGGGAGACAUAUCCAUAUACUUGUUGAUGUAGUCAAUCCCACAUGCAACUAUAUUCGUCGGCAUUUUACCGUUUGGCCUCACGGACUCAGCAAGAUCACCCAGGUCGACGUAUGUCGCUUCGCAUUGAAUGACCUUGGUUCUGUCCAAACAUGAGCUAUAUAAAAAUGAUAUAACAUGAAAGAAUCAUGUCUACUAAGUAAAAAAGGAAGAACUAAAACGUAAGCAGAUCAUGUCUAGAAAGUAGAAAAAAAUAUGAAUGGUAGAAAGAGCAAAGCAAAAAUGUGGUCAUUACGCUUUUAGCUCCUUCAUGUGCUUGCUGCUGGCCCUGGCAUUACCAAAUCACUUGACAAUAUCGUACAGCUGGGUCUGUUCCUUUGUGGCCCUGACUUCGGGCUCGUAGUCUUCCACGGGAGGUGGGUAAACUACCCUCUGCUGCCUCACAAAACCAGGGGUGGUACUCCUAAUGGUAUCCUCAGAUACCGUAUCUGCAGGCACAUUGGAACUUGAUUGCCCCUGACCUCGUGAGGACCUCCUUUGCAAUGCUGCCUCCUCGAUCCUGCGGUAAGCUUCAUCAAGUGACGGUGAAAUCUCCUCAGGGGUGCCUGCAAAAAGAUAGGGUGCAUGAUGUGAAAUGUAGGUACAAAAAGUAGGGAGUUGCCAUGUGGGGGCAAAUCUACUUGCCAUGUGUAGUGCACUGUAGUUGCCAUGUGACAGCAACUACAGUUGUCAUAUUGUGUCAACUCUAGUUGCUAUGUGCUUGCCAAAUGAAAAAUGUAGCAUGGAAACAAAAAUACAGGUGACAUGGUGCAUCAAAUCUAGUUGCCAUGUGUAUUGCACUGUAGUUGCCAUGUGACAACAACUACAGUUGCCAUGUUGAAUCAACUUCAGUUGCCAUGUGAUUGCCGAAUGUAAAAUGCACCGUGGCAACACAAUUGUAGGUGACAUGGUGCAGCAAAUCCAGUUGCCAUGUCAUCACAUAAGAGUUGCCAUCACAAGUGAGAACCCCAAAAAGAAUGCUUGGUACAAAAGUCAGACUACACAGAUGUAUGCAAGAAAAUGAUAAGCACAUAAGAAAUGUACCUUGGACGAUCGGCUCUGCGAACUUGACAGCCUUCCUACCCUUAACCAUUGGCUGCGCCAUCAUUGCGGGCAUGCCUCCCGGGAAAGCAAAGGCAACGGGAAUAGGAUCUGGCACCAUUGGUUGAUCUUGACUGAUGCCAAGGCUGAAGCUCAGUGAGGUGAAGGCCAUUGGGUGCCUCUCAUGCCUAUUGGCCGGACCGCGAACAACUUGCGAGGCAGAAUCCAAGGGUGAAAGAUCAACAAACAUAUCUGAAUCGGCCACUACAGAAUGGUCGGGCUUAUUUGUAGGGCUGGGCGUGUUGUCAGCGGUAUCAACCGCAGCUUUCUUGACAAUCUUCUUGUUUGGGCUGUAGGGGACACCAACAUUAACUGGGAGCCUGGAAGUGCGCAGAUUUAAGCUGGGGAUUUCCACUGCGGGUAAAGGUGCAGUCUGCUUCGGACGUUCACCUGUGUCACUCGUGCCCGGCUUUACACCUGCAUCAGUUGUGCUCCGGUCUUCCGGUUUCUCCAUCACAUUGCUUUUGGCAGGUGGCGGAAAUAGUAUGGACGCAGGAACAUAACCAGACUCAUCUCUGGUGCUCCUAGCUACAGAUGGUGCGUUGGGUAUGUCUGUUGAUUGCUUGCGGGGGCUACGACGCCUAGGUGGAAGACCAGCACGCGAAACAGUCGCCUUAGCAGUAUCUGCACCGACAUGAGCUGGAGCUGUUGUGCCAAGACUCUCACCUGUAGAUGGCAUAUCAUUAUGAACGGCCACCUUAGCCACUUUUGUCGUGGACAUAGGAGUGCCACCACGCACACGCUUGGAAUCAGUGUCAGAUGAGCGGGAAUCUUCCUUGCUUAGGUUGGUCUCGGGAGCGUCCACUUCAACGCUUGCUGAUGGGGUGGCAUGGCUCACAAUAGCAUCCUUCAUUGCCAGAAGAGUUGGCAAUAUUUCAGCUGUCCUGGCAGAUACCGACUCGUCACUCCCCGAUGUACGGAUGCCUGUUGUUCUAACCUGCACAUUUGCAACCGGCGGAGAUGGUCGGCCACUUGCGUCAUAGUUAGUGGGAACAAUUGACGGUUCAGCAGCAGUUUUGUCGGCUGGCGCCUCAUGAACAUCUGAGUUGCCCCCUAUUGACAACUUUGAAUGAAGGCGUUCGAUUGGGUCCCUAAUGAUAUGCUUGGCCCCGUGUGCAGUAGUCUUCUUCACCCUGCAAAAAAAGAAAACACAUGAAAAAGAUAUUAAAAAAGAACAAACAAUAUUUGCCAUGGUAGAAAUCUAAAAAAAAUGAAAAAAUAGGUGGAAAAGCUGGUAGUUGCCAUGUAAGGGGAAUAUGAGUUGUCAUGUGGCAUAGUUAGCAGUUGCCAUGCAAAUCCAGCAAUAGUUGCCAUGUUAGCCAACUUGAAGAAUGAUAAAAAUGUCUGAUCUGCCAGGAAUGCAAUUUCAAAACUAGGUAUGGGAUGAGCACUCAAGCCAAUGGAAAAAAUGGCAGUUGCCAUUAGGUACAAUAAGAGUUGCCAUUUGGCCUAGAUAGCAGUUGCCAUGUAAAAGCAAGUAGGAGUUUGCCAUGUAGUUAAAAAGGAAGAAAAUCAUUUGAAAAUUGCCAUGUGGGGGAUGAUGACAGAAGCCCAUGUGACAAGCUGAACGUAUGCAUUGAAAAAUCAAAAAUAUAGCACUAUGCCAAUGAAAGCACAUGGAAAACCUACUUCUUGACUGGCUUUCUUAGGUCUGGCAACACGACAGGAUCCUCGGUGUUGGACGUCGUCGUACGAGGAGAUGACCUGGUGGAAGGGAUGUCACCAGCAAUGGGGGCACCUUUGUUCAACCGAGCAGAAACACGGGUUGGCGUUGGUGCCUGUUUCUUCGUAACUGCUCGUCCACGAGUUGUCGCCUCACUACACGUAUAAGAUGGAGGAAAAAAAGGUGGCAAUUGUCAGACAGCAAACUCGUUGCCGCGCUUAGCAAAAACAAAUGCAAAAAGGGAUCAUUCUGUUCCAAAAAUAUAGACAAAACAAAAAACUAAAAUUAAAGUCGAACCUCCUCCUAGCAGAUACGGGAUCGGUCCUAGACCUCUUGCCAGGAACCCUGCCCAACAUCCUCUGGAGCCCUCCCCCUCUUUGAUGGCAACACCCCCUCGCCUCUCGCAGCCGUAUGUUCUUUGACUUUCUCCGGUGGGGGGACAUCUGGUGCAUCCUUGCGCUUGUUACCACCUGCACGAACUUCAGCAUGUUCAUCAUCAUCGGCGUCCUGUUGCACGUUCUCCAUGUCAUCGUCGUCAUCCUUGCUGAGACCAGCGUCUCCAUCUAGUUCAUCUUGUGUGUCAGCAAGCUCUUGGGAACUGUUGUAGUCAUACCGGCCACGGCAAUCAGUUGGCCGAUGUGUCCAUUCUGGGACAAAUGUAGUGAACUGCCUCGCAACCGCGUCGCUGUCAGAGCCACUAAGGGACGUCCACCCCUCAACCAACUUCCCGAGCAGGCCGGUCAUUCCGGAUGCAAACUGCCCAAUUAGAUGCUCAACAGGUGCCCUCGCCUGUGCACGAAACAAGAAGCAACAAUAACCACCCAUAUUACAGUCACUUGCGCGACAUCAAAAAUAAUCCAAGGCAACCAUAGAUAUAGAUCUUUUGAUUACCUCAGUAGGGGCAAGACGGAGCUGAGUGCACGUCCAUCCACUUUCCAAAGUUUUGAGGCCCCCCAAACACAUUGUAGUCUAUAGUGUGCUUGGCCAUCAGUUGGAACAAACAAAAAAAAUAGCUAGGAUGUAAGAGAGAGAAUGAUGAACACUGACUAGCAGUUCAUGUGUUGCAAAAUGCAACAAAAAAAGAAGACGCAAAUAUAAGUUUCAGCACGAAUGACAGAGUUGUCAUGUGGAGUGAGACAUGGAUACCAUACGCAGACAGCCAUGGCUAACAAAGGUAGUCAUCUCUUGUGAACCACAGACGGUUGCCGCAUGACGAUUUUUUCAUAUGUUAUGCUGCAAAAAUUUGUAAGCAUGCUGUGUAGAGAAAGAAACCAGAACUAACCUGCAGUUUUCCAUAUUUGGUAUCAGUUACCUUGUCUGCAGCAAGCACAACCUUGACAACAUCGAUAGUCCACGCAGAAACAACAAACUUGUGUGUAGGAGGCGGGCCUCCUAUCCCAGUGAAAUCCACAAUGGACAGAUCAAGACAGUCGACGUACAUGAGCUGAUGUACAACAAUUUUAAAAAGAAAGAAAUAUCAGUUGCCAUCAUGGUACUUUGCGAAAAAACGGGAUAAUCUAUGUUCCCAUGAUACAAGUUGAAGUGCAUGAAAAAUAGAAAAAAAAGAAGUUGCCAUCUGUAUGUCGUAGUUGCCAUCAUAGUGUGAUGGCAGUUGCCAUAUUGCCAUGAUGGCAGUUGCCAUAUUGCCAUUAUGGCAGUUGCCAUAUUGUUAUGAUCAGGUUGCCAUGCAUGAAUAAAAUGUGUUAAAAAGAGUGUUCACAAAAAGGACUGGUAAAAAAAUACCAUUAAAUGCAGUCGACAACCCUUCUGGUACAUCUUGCUUGAGAAUGCAUCGUGCAGGAAGUCGGCAAUAAACUUACACCAAUUCAUGUUCUUCACAUCUUUCAAUUUCGCCUGCACCACACAAAUUUUCAGGACAACGAGUUGCCGCAUCAGAAAUCAAAUGAAAAAAAACAUCAAAAAACACUGGCAGUGACUAGCUUUGCACAUGACACCGGAGCCAAAAGAUUGAAUGAAAACAAUGUAGUAAAGAUAGAUCAUUCACCAGGAUGGGGAAGCAUUUGUUGCUUGGGCGAAGAGAAGUGGUCGGUGCGAAAACAGCUGAGAUGAGGUACAUGAUUAGCUUCAUCUUAAAAACCUCGCCAUGGGUUGUCAUGGUCUGCAGCGAAUCUGCCAGUACAGACGUGUUCGGCAUGGAUUCCAACCCAGGAAACAAAUGGGGGAACAUCGCUUCCUCGAUCUUGUUAUUGACCUCGUACGGGAAUUUGAUUUGUCCACGAGGCACACCCAAAGUGCAGAACACGGAUUCCUCGUUCAAUGGCAGUCUUCCACGUCCUGGAAUAACAAAUUCCCUGGAGGCGGGGUCGUAAAUCUCACCAAGCCAGUCGCAUACAGGGUUGACAAGAUUCGUGCACCGGACAUUCAUCAGAGCCUGCAUACCCAUCUCAGCAACAGCUCCCUUCUGAUCGUCGGUAAAUCUGUCAGUCAAUGUAGUCAGUCGUUCUUGGGAGGCCCUGUUGCGAAUACGUUUCUUUUUCUGCAAAAAACAGACCAAAAUGAUCAGUUGUUGCCUUGCACUGUCAUGAAAUUUUAGUUCAUGACAAACGACUGCAAGCUCGAGGUGGCAACCAAUAACAUAUGCAGGAGGAGGAGGGUGUGUGGACAGUUACCUCAUCGCCCUCUUUUCUUCGUCCAGUUGCCCGAUUCUACUGUGGUGGAUCCAUGAAAUCAUCAUCAUCGUUUUGAUGAUCACCGCGAGCCAUUCUGCUGAGGUAGCAACAGACCAAAUUGUCACGGUGGAAAUGAAAAUGCAGGAAGUAAGCAGUUGCCACAUAACAGAAAAUGUCAACUAGUGAAUGCAAAAUAUCACAUGAACACGCACGCACCCCCCUAUGAUUGUCGAAAACAUAAAUGUGGCAAUUAAGCACAUUGGUUACAUUUGAAAAAAAGUGUACAGAUCGUAAAUGCACUUAAAAACAAAAUGUUGAAGUUGCCAUGUUAGCACAAGAUAGUACGAAAUAAAGUCACAAAAUCCUCCACUACACAAAACCUAAGAUGUGACAGCUCACACCCUGUCCUAAAUACACCAAUGAAUUGCCAUGUGUUCAGUGGCAAAAAUGUGCUAGGUUGAAAUUGCCAUGUUAAAAUGCAACACAAAAUACAAAAAAGCGAUGAAAAACAUCUAAUGAACAACCUGAAAUUGCCACAGUGUGUUCAGAUAUCAGAAGUCAUCAUGGCAAAAUAUGAAAAUUGCGUCUACCGUACAAUGAAUUUGCCACAUUAUACUGAUUGGAUACAUAUUGAAAGUGGGAGCAAUUAGCUAGAGUAGCUCCGUGCAGAGCAUUAUGGACAUAGAAUAUUUGCGAAAUACAUACGGCUCUCAAUAUGACAGGCCCGUUGACUAAAGUUCUCUCACAAGCAAAACAUUAUCAUACCUUAGUACUCUUUGGGUGUUAAUCACAUAGCGAUGUGAACUAGAUUAUUGACUCUAGUUAACCCUUUGGGUGUUGAUCACAUGAUGAUGUGAACUAUGGGUAUUAAUCACAUGCAGAUGUGAAUAUUGGUGUUAAAUCACAUAGCGAUGUGAACUAGAUUAUUGACUCUAGUGCAAGUGGGAGACUGAAGGAAAUAUGCCCUAGAGGCAAUAAUAAAGUUAUUAUUUAUUUCCUUAUUUCAUGAUAAAUGUUUAUUAUUCAUGCUAGAAUUGUAUUAACCGGAAACAUGAUACAUGUGUGAAUACAUAGACAAACAUAUAGUCACUAGUAUGCCUCUACUUAACUAGCUCAUUAAUCAAAGAUGGUUAUGUUUCCUAACCAUAGACAUGUGUUGUCAUUUGAUUAAUGGGAUCACAUUAUUAGGAGAAUAAUGUGAUUGACAUGACCCAUUCCGUUAGCCUAGCACUUGAUCGUUUAGUAUGUUGCUAUUGCUUUCUUCAUGACUUAUACAUGUUCCUGUAACUAUGAGAAUUAUGCAACUCCCGUUUACCGAAGGAACACUUUGGGUACUACCAAACGUCACAACGUAACUGGGUGAUUAUAAAGGAGUACUACAGGUGUCUCUGAAGGUACAUGUUGAGUUGGCGUAUUUCGAGAUUAGGUUUUGUCACUCCGAUUGUCGGAGAGGUAUCUCUGGGCCCUCUCGGUAAUGCACAUCAUUAUAAGCCUUGCAAGCAAUGUGACCAAAUGAGUUGGUUACGGGAUGAUGCAUUACGGAACGAGUAAAGAGACUUGCCGGUAACGAGAUUGAACUAGGUAUUGGAUACCGACGAUCAAAUCUCGGGCAAGUAACAUACCGAUGACAAAGGGAACAAAGUAUGUUGUUAUGCGGUUUGACCGAUAAAGAUCUUCGUAGAAUAUGUAGGAGCCAAUAUGGGCAUCCAGGUUCCGCUAUUGGUUAUUGACCAAGAAUAGUUCUAGGUCAUGUCUACAUAGUUCUCGAACCCGUAGGGUCCGCACGCUUAAGGUUUCGAUGACAGUUAUAUUAUAAGUUUAUGAGUUUUGAUGUACCGAAGGAGUUCGGAGUCCCGGAUGAGAUCGGGGACAUGACGAGGAGUUUCGAAAUGGUCGAGACGUAAAUAUCGAUAUAUUGGACGACUAUAUUCGGAGUUCGGAAAGGUUCCGAGUGAUUCGGGUAUUUUUCGGAGUACCGGAGAGUUACGGGAAUUCGCCAGGGAGUAUAUGGGCCUUAUUGGGCCAUACGGGAAUAGUGGAGAGAGGCCAAAAGGAAGGAGGCCUGCGCCCCCCCUCUGGUCCGAAUUGGACAAGGGGCGCAGCCCCCCUUUCCUUCUUCCUCUCCCCCUCUUUCCCCCUCUCCUACUCCAACAAGGGAGGUGGAAUCCUACUAGGACUAGGGAGUCCUAGUAGGACUCCACACUUGGCGCGCCCCCUCCUAGGGCCGGCCACCUCCCCCCUUACUCCUUUAUAUACGGGGGCAGGGGGGCACCCCAGGACACACAAGUUGAUCUACGGAUCGUUCCUUAGCCGUGUGCGGUGCCCCCCUCCACCAUAUUCCACCUCAGUCAUAUCGUCGCGGAGUUUAGGCGAAGUCCUGCGCCGGUAGAGCAUCAUCGUCGUCACCACGCCAUCGUGCUGACGGAACUCAUCCCCGAUGCUUUGCUGGAUCGGAGCCCGGGGAUCGUCAUCGAGUUGAACGUGUGCUGAACUCGGAGGUGCCGUACGUUCGGUACUUGGAUCGGUCGGAUCGUGAAGACGUACGACUACAUCAACCGCGUUGUGCUAACGCUUCCGCUUACGGUCUACGAGGGUACAUGGACAACACUCUCCCCUCUCGUUGCUAUGCCAUCACCAUGAUCUUGCGUGUAUGUAGGAAAUUUUUGAAAUUACUACGUUCCCCAACAGUGGCAUCCGAGCCUAGGUUUUAUGCGUUGAUGUUAUAUGCACGAGUAGAACACAAGUGAGUUGUGGGCGAUACAAGUCAUACUGCUUACCAGCAUGUCAUACUUUGGUUCGGCGGUAUUGUGAGAUGAAGCGGCCCGGACCGACAUUACGCAUACGCUUACGCGAGACUGGUUUCACCGUACGAGCACUCGUGCUUAAAGGUGGCUGGCGGGUGUCUGUCUCUCUCACUUUAGCUGAAUCGAGUGUGGCUACGCCCGGUCCUUGCGAAGGUUAAAACAGCACUAACUUGACGAACUAUCGUUGUGGUUUUGAUGCGUAGGUAAGAACGGUUCUUGCUAAGCCCGUAGCAGCCACGUAAAAUUUGCAACAACAAAGUAGAGGACGUCUACCUUGUUUUUGCAGGGCAUGUUGUGAUGUGAUAUGGUCAAGACGUGAUGCUAUAUUUUAUUGUAUGAGAUGAUCAUAUUUUGUAACCGAAGUUAUCGGCAACUGGCAGGAGCCAUAUGAUUGUCGCUUUAUUGUAUGAAAUGCAAACGCCCUGUAAUUGCUUUACUUUAUACUAAGUGGUAGCGAUAGUCGUAGAAGCAAUAGAUGGCGUAAUGACAACGAUGCUACGAUGGAGAUCAAGGUGUCGUGCCGGUGACGAUGGUGAUCACGACGGUGCUUCGAAGAUGGAGAUCACAAGCACAAGAUGAUGAUGGCCAUAUCAUAUCACUUAUAUUGAUUGCAUGUGAUGUUUAUCCUUUAUGCAUCUUAUCUUGCUUUGAUUGACGGUAGCAUUUUAAGAUGAUCUCUCACUAAUUAUCAAGAAGUGUUCUCCCUGAGUAUGCACCGUUGCGAAAGUUCUUCGUGCUGAGACACCACGUGAUGAUCGGGUGUGAUAGGCUCUACGUUCAAAUACAACGGGUGCAAAACAGUUGCACACGCGGAAUACUCGGGUUAAACUUGACGAGCCUAGCAUAUACAGAUAUGGCCUCGGAACACGGAGACCGAAAGGUCGAGCGUGAAUCAUAUAGUAGAUAUGAUCAACAUAUUGAUGUUCACCGUUGAAACUACUCCAUCUCACGUGAUGAUCGGACAUGGUGUAGUUGAUAUGGAUCACGUAAUCACUUAGAGGAUUAGAGGGAUGUCUUUCUAAGUGGGAGUUCUUAAGUAAUAUGAUUAAUUGAACUUUAAUUUAUCAUGAACUUAGUCCUGGUAGUAUUUUGCAAAUUAUGUUGUAGAUCAAUAGCUUGCGUUGUUGCUUUCAUAUGUUUUGAUAUGUUCCUAGAGAAAAUUGUGUUGAAAGAUGUUAGUAGCAAUGAUGCGGAUUUGAUCCGUGAUCUGAGGUUUAUCCUCAUUGCUGCACAGAAGAAUUAUGUCCUUAAUGCACCGCUAGGUGACAGACCUAUUGCUGGAGCAGAUGCAGACGUUAUGAACGUUUGGCUAGCUCAAUAUGAUGACUACUUGAUAGUUUUGUGCACCAUGCUUUACAGCUUAAAAUCGGGACUUCAAAGACGUUUUGGACGUCAUGGACCAUAUGAGAUGUUCCACGAGUUGAAAUUAAUAUUUCCAGCAAAUACCCGAGUUGAGAGAUAUGAAGUCUCCAACAAGUUCUAUAGCUAAAAGAUGGAGGAGAAUCGCUCAACUAGUGAGCAUGUGCUCAGAUUGUCUGGGUACUUCAAUCACUUGAAUCAAGUGGGAGUUAAUCUUCCAGAUAAGAUAGUGAUUGACAGAAUUCUCUAGUCACCAUCACCAAGUUAGUAGAACUUUGUGAUGAACUAUAGUAUGCAAGGGAUGACGAAAACGAUUCCCGAGCGCUUCGUGAUGUUGAAAUCAACGAAGUUAGAAAUCAAGAAAGAGCAUCAAGUGUUGAUGGUUGACAAGAUCACUAGUUUCAAGAAAAAGGGCAAAGGGAAAGAAAGGGGAACUUCAAGUAGAAUGACAAGAAAGUUGUCACUCCCAUGAAGAAGCCCAAAGCUGAACCAAAGCCUGAAACUGAGUGCUUAUACUGCAAAGGAAAUGGUCACUAGAAGCGGAAAUGCCUUGAAUAUUUGGUGGAUAAGAAGGAUGGCAAAGUGAACAAGGGUAUAUUUGAUAUACAUGUUAUUGAUGUGUACCUUACUAGUGUUUAUAGUAACCCCUGAGUAUUUGAUACUUGUUUGGUUGCUAAAUAUUAGUAACUCGAAACAGGAGUUACAGAAUAAACAGAAACUAGUUGAGGGUGAAGUGACGAUGUGUGUUGGAAGUGGUUCCAAGAUUGAUAUGAUCAUCAUCGCACACUCCCUAUACUUUCGGGAUUAGUGUUAAACCUAAAUAAAUGUUAUUUGGCGUUUGCGUUGAGCAUGAAUAUGAUUUGAUCAUGUUUAUUGCAAUACGGUUAUUCAUUUAAAGUCAGAGAAUAAUUGUUGUUCUGUUUACAUGAAUAAAAUUUCCAAUGGUCAUACACCCAAUGAAAAUAGUUUGUUGGAUCUUGAUCAUAGUGAUACACAUAUUCAUAAUAUUGAUGCCAAAAGAUGAAAAGUUAAUAAUGAUAGUGCAACUUAUUUGUGGCACUACCGUUUGGGUCAUAUCGGUGUAAAGCGCAUGAAGAAACUCUAUAAAGAUGGAUUUUCGGAAUCACUUGGUUAUGAAUCAUUUGAUGCUUGCGAACUAUGCCUUUUAGGCAAGAUGACUAAAACUCCGUUCUCCGGAACAAUGGAACGAGCUAGUGACUUAUUGGAAAUAAUACAUACCGAUGUAUGCAGUCCAAUGAGUGUUGAUGCUCGUGGCGGGUAUCGUUAUUUUCUGACCUUCACGAGAUGAUUUGAGCAGAUAUAAGUAUAUCUUCUUGAUGAAACAUAAGUCUGAAAUAAUUGAAAGGUUCAAAGAAUUUCAGAGUGAAGUGGAAAAAUCAUCGUAACAAGAAAAUAAACUUUCUACGAUCUGAUCGCGGAGACGAAUAUUUCAGUUACGAGUUUGGUCUUCAAUUAAAAUAACGUGGAAUAGUUUCACAGCUCACGCCACCUGGAACACCACAACAUUAUGGUGUGUCCGAACAUCGUAACCGCACUUUAUUGGAUAUGGUGCGAUCUAUGAUGUCUCUUAUCAGUUUUACCACUAUCGUUUUGGGGUUGUGCAUUAGAGACAACUGCAUUCACGUUUAAAAGGGCACCAUCUAAAUCCGUUGAGACGACACCGUAUGAACUAUGGUUUAGCAGUAAACCUAAGCUGUCGUUUCUUAAAGUUUAGAGUUGCGAUGCUUAUAUGAAAAAAGUUUCAACCUGAUAAGCUCAAACCCAAAUCGAAGAAGUGCGUCUUCAUAGAAUACCCAAAGUUAACUAUUGGGUACACCUUCUAUCACAGAUCGGAAGGCAAGAUAUUCAUUGCUAAGAAUGGAUCCUUUCUAGAGAAGGAGUUUCUCUCGAAAGAAGUGAGUGGGAGGAAAGUAGAACUUGAUGAGGUAACUGUACCUGCUCCCUUAUUGGAAAGUAGUUCAUCACAGAAAUCUAUUCGUGUGACUACUACACCAAUUAGUGAGGAAGUUAAUGAUGAUGAUCAUGAAACUUCAGAUUAAGUUACUAUAGAACCUCGUAGGUCUUACAGAGUAAGAUCCGCACCAGAGUGGUACGGUAAUACUGUUCUGGAAGUUAUGUUACUAGACCAUGACGAACCUACGAACUAUGAAGAAGCGAUGGUGAGCCCAGAUUCCGCAAAAUGGCUUGAGGCCAUGAGAUCUGAGAUAAGAUCCAUGUAUGAAAACAAAGUAUGGACUUUGAUUGACUUGCCCAAUGAUCGGCGAGACAUUGAGAUUAAAUGGAUCUUCAAGAGGAAGACGGACGCUGAUAGUGUUACUAUCUACAAAGCUAGAAUUGUUGCAAAAGGUUUUCGACAAGUUCAAGGUGUUGGCUACGAUGAGAGUUUUUCACUCGUAUCUAUGCUUAAGUCUAUCUGAAUCAUAUUAGCAAUUGCCGCAUUUUAUGAAAUCUGGCAAAUGGAUAAACAAAACUGCAUUCCUUAAUGGUUUUCUUAAAAGAAGAGUUGUAUAUGAUGCAACCAGAAGGUUUUGUCAAUCCUAAAGGUGCUAACAAAUUGUGCAAGCUCCAGCGAUCCAUCUAUGGACUGGUGCAAUAUAUGCUUUGAUUAGUUGAUCAAAGCAUAUGGUUUUAUACAGACUUUUGAAGAAGCUUGUAUUUACAAGAAAGUGAGUGGGAGCACAACAGCAUUUCUGAUAAGUAUAUGUGAAUGACAUAUUGUUGAUUGGAAAUAAUAUAGAAUUAUUCUGCAUAGCAUGAAAGGAUACUUGAAUAAGAGUUUUUCAAAGCAAGACCUCGGUGAAGCUGCUUACACAUUGAGCAUCAAGAUCUAUAUAGAUAGAUCAAGACGCUUGAUAAGAUUUUUCAAUGAGUACAUACCUUGAUAAUUUUUUGAAAUAGUUCAAAAUGGAACAGUCAAAGAAGAAGUUCUUGCCUGUGUUACAACGUGUGAAGUUGAGUAAGACUCAAGACCCGACCAUUGCAGAAAAUAGAAAGAGAAUGAAAAGUCAUUCCCUAUGCCUCAGUCAUAGGUUCUAUAAAGUAUGCUAUGCUGUGAACCAGACCUAUUGUAUACCUUGCUCCGUGUUUGGCAAAGGAAUACAAUUUUGAUCUAAUAAGUAGAUCACUGGACAUGGGUCAAGAAUAUCCUUAGUGAGGACUAAGGAGAUGUUUCUCGAUUAUGGAGGUGAUAAAAGAGCCCGUCAUAAAAGUUACAACGAUGCAAGCUUUUACACCAAUCCAGAUGACUCUAAGUCUCAAUCUGGAUACAUAUUGAAAGUGGGAGCAAUUAGCUAGAGUAGCUCCGUGCAGAGCAUUGUGGACAUAGAAUAUUUGCGAAAUACAUACGGCUCUGAAUAUGACAGACCCGUUGACUAAAGUUCUCUCACAAGCAAAAUAUGAUCAUACCUUAGUACUCUUUGGGUGUUAAUCACAUAGCGAUGUGAACUAGAUUAUUGACUCUAGUUAACCCUUUGGGUGUUGAUCACAUGAUGAUGUGAACUAUGGGUAUUAAUCACAUGCAGAUGUGAAUAUUGGUGUUAAAUCACAUAGCGAUGUGAACUAGAUUAUUGACUCUAGUGCAAGUGGGAGACUGAAGGAAAUAUGCCCUAGAGGCAAUAAUAAAGUUAUUAUUUAUUUCCUUAUUUCAUGAUAAAUGUUUAUUAUUCAUGCUAGAAUUGUAUUAACCGGAAACAUGAUACAUGUGUGAAUACAUAGACAAACAUAUAGUCACUAGUAUGCCUCUACUUAACUAGCUCAUUAAUCAAAGAUGGUUAUGUUUCCUAACCAUAGACAUGUGUUGUCAUUUGAUUAAUGGGAUCACAUUAUUAGGAGAAUAAUGUGAUUGACAUGACCCAUUCCGUUAGCCUAGCACUUGAUCGUUUAGUAUGUUGCUAUUGCUUUCUUCAUGACUUAUACAUGUUCCUGUAACUAUGAGAAUUAUGCAACUCCCGUUUACUGGAGGAACACUUUGGGUACUACCAAACGUCACAACGUAACUGGGUGAUUAUAAAGGAGUACUACAGGUGUCUCCGAAGGUACAUGUUGAGUUGGCGUAUUUCGAGAUUAGGUUUUGUCACUCCGAUUGUCGGAGAUGUAUCUCUGGGCCCUCUCGGUAAUGCACAUCAUUAUAAGCCUUGCAAGCAAUGUGACCAAAUGAGUUGGUUACGGGAUGAUGCAUUACGGAACGAGUAAAGAGACUUGCCGGUAACGAGAUUGAACUAGGUAUUGGAUAUCGACGAUCAAAUCUCGGGCAAGUAACAUACCGAUGACAAAGGGAACAAAGUAUGUUGUUAUGUGGUUUGGCCGAUAAAGAUCUUCAUAGAAUAUGUAGGAGCCAAUAUGGGCAUCCAGGUUCCGCUAUUGGUUAUUGACCAAGAAUAGUUCUAGGUCAUGUCUACAUAGUUCUCGAACCCGUAGGGUCCGCACGCUUAAGGUUUCGAUGACAGUUAUAUUAUAAGUUUAUGAGUUUUGAUGUACCGAAGGAGUUCGGAGUCCCGGAUGAGAUCGGGGACAUGACAAGGAGUCUCGAAAUGGUCGAGACGUAAAGAUCGAUAUAUUGGACGACUAUAUUCUGAGUUCGAAAAGGUUCCGAGUGAUUCGGGUAUUUUUCGGAGUACCGGAGAGUUACGGGAAUUCGCCGGGGAGUAUAUGGGCCUUAUUGGGCCAUACGGGAAUAGUGGAGAGAGGCCAAAAGGAAGGAAGCCUGCGCCCCCCCUCUGGUCCGAAUUGGACAAGGGGCGCAGCCCCCCUUUCCUUCUUCCUCUCCCCCUCUUUCCCCCUCUCCUACUCCAACAAGGGAGGUGGAAUCCUACUAGGACUAGAACAUGAAGGCGCGCGUUGCCGCGCCUGUCCAUCGUGAAGCAAAUGAUUAUAAGUAUCAGCAAAAACUUGAAUGUAUAAACAAUUUAUAAUUUGUAUCAUUCGAAUCACUUGAAUCAUAGUGGCACGAUGUCAAUGGUUGGGCAUAUCUAUUUAAGUUAUAUACAGCAGGCCCACUUACAAAAAAAAA
Molecule: long non-coding RNA, 26694 nt
Filed under: Triticum aestivum (bread wheat)
Lineage: Eukaryota; Viridiplantae; Streptophyta; Magnoliopsida; Poales; Poaceae
Description: long non-coding RNA (TAES_LNC007313)
Source: RNAcentral